RNAcentral lists this ribosomal RNA (475 nucleotides) under uncultured bacterium. Its description in RNAcentral is "bacterial SSU rRNA". It matches the Rfam family "Bacterial small subunit ribosomal RNA", at positions 29 to 482 of the family's 1533-position model. The record is from RNAcentral.
AGCGAACGCUGGCGGCGUGCCUAAUACAUGCAAGUCGAGCGAGAAAGCCUCUUCGGAGGUGAGUAAAGCGGCGCACGGGUGAGUAACACGUGGGCAACCUACCCUUGAGUCUGGGAUAACCCGGGGAAACUCGGGCUAAUACCAGAUACGGCUGCGGGGUCCUCGGAUCCUGCGGAGAAAGAUGGCCUCUUCUUGAAAGCUAUCUCUCGAGGAUGGGCCCGCGUCCUAUUAGCAGUUGGUGAGGUAACGGCUCACCAAGGCAAAGAUGGGUAGCUGGUCUGAGAGGAUGGCCAGCCACACUGGAACUGAGACACGGUCCAGACUCCUACGGGAGGCAGCAGUAGGGAAUUUUGGGCAAUGGGCGAAAGCCUGACCCAGCAACGCCGCGUGUGGGAUGAAGGCCCCUCGGGGUCGUAAACCACUGUCAGGAGAAAGAAAGCUGGCCGCUAACAUCCGGUCGGCCUGACGUACCUCC